UCUCUUGUAGUGUAGUGGUAAGCACUCCGGAUUUUGAUCAAAAGAGAUUUCUUUCUUUAAGGGAGGGAUGACUCGAUUGAAAAAUAUUCAAAUGUUCCGGCAACCCAAGUUCGAAUCUUGGCAAGAGAU
Non-coding RNA from Periconia macrospinosa, 129 nucleotides. The record is from the annotation of a GenBank genome assembly. NCBI's taxonomy places the organism in Eukaryota, Fungi, Ascomycota, Dothideomycetes, Pleosporales, Periconiaceae.